AACUUUAAAAAACGGAUCUCUUGGUUCUGGCAUCGAUGAAGAACAUCUUUAAAUGCGAUUGUAAUGUGAAUUGCAGAAUUCAGUGAAUCUGCUAAACUUUGAACGCACAUUGCGCCCGCCAGUAUUCGGGCGGGCAUGCCUGUCCAAGCGUCCUU
Molecule: ribosomal RNA, 155 nt
Filed under: Trichoderma harzianum
Lineage: Eukaryota; Fungi; Ascomycota; Sordariomycetes; Hypocreales; Hypocreaceae
Description: 5.8S ribosomal RNA
Rfam family: 5.8S ribosomal RNA
About the family: 5.8S ribosomal RNA (5.8S rRNA) is a component of the large subunit of the eukaryotic ribosome. It is transcribed by RNA polymerase I as part of the 45S precursor that also contains 18S and 28S rRNA.
Source: RNAcentral